Molecule: long non-coding RNA, 1056 nt
Organism: Mytilus californianus (California mussel)
Lineage: Eukaryota; Metazoa; Mollusca; Bivalvia; Mytilida; Mytilidae
Exons: 2
Source: RefSeq, a predicted model, not a curated record
AAAGACCUUGACCUUAAAAACAGUAAACAUUUUAUACCGAUACAUAGCCCAAUGCAGUCUAUCAUCAAUAUGUAUAUUUGGAUUAAAAUAUAUGGAAACUGUGUCGUUGUGGAUAUGAUGUUUCUGUUCAGACAAAUCUGGAAAAAAAGAACAGUACUUUCAAAGCAAAAUUACCACAUGCAGAACUGUGAUGUUGCAGGACUCAUCCCUGGAAGUUCGAAACGACUCUAUUCCAGUUAUUAGCUGUUAAUACGGAAUUUUGGAUGAUAACGAGAAGAAGAUUUGAAUAAUCUCCGUCUUGAUUGCGUUUGUGAGACAGUGUGUUUUGCUGCAUACACAUCACAUACAUGUAUAAUUACAAAUUAGUUCUGGUCCUCUUAGUCAUGCAAUUCAAAGCUUAACAACUCCAUGUAAUUAAAAAUUUAUAAUUUCCUCAAAUAGCCAACGUUUCUACUCUAUUUCGUUUCUUAUUUUUAUUCCCCAUCAGCAAGAAUUCAAUUAUGUAUUCUUAGGUUACAAAUUAGAUAACGCCUGAUUGGACAAAAUUAAUUUAAAAAAAUAGAAAAAAAUAGAGAAGAAUAGUCAGAAAAUAAAUAAAAGAGAAAACAAGAGAUAACAUGGCAUGUAUCAUUUUACUAAAUACAGAAAUAUAGACGCCGCCUUCACCAUCCACACCCUCUUCAUCUAAGUCGCAAUCACUUCAUUAUCUACAUGAUAUAAUUGUCAACUAUUAUAUGUGUAUUAUUUCUUCAGUUAUCUCUUAUUUAUAAUGACUUCAACAUAUAGACGUAGGGAAGUCUGUAUAGCUCUAUCAAGUAUUCAAUGUCUGCAAUAUUUUUUCUCCUGGAUUUACUUGACUGAUACGAUGUGUUUAAGCUCACUGGCGAAAUGUUUUCAAUGUCUAAGAUCUUAAUGAUAUACUCAGAUGAAAUUAAAUCAAAAUGUAGAAUUUAAAAUUUAUAUUAUAAGUCAGCUAAUAACAUUAAUAGGUUAUGGAACUCCUUUCAACUAUUUGAUUUUAAAAAAAAAGCCUGGUAAAGGCUGAUUUUUACCUUA